GCCAUUAAAGAGUAUCGAAAACUUUGGAGUUUCCAAGCAAGAUUGAAUCCAAUUAACCCAUUGCUGUGGGAAGUUCAUAUCGAGGAGCAUCUUAUAGAUAAAUUUCCUAUUAACUGAAUCAAAAGCUUUCCGUAAAUCAACUUUAAAACAGAUUUUUGUCCCUCUUGCUUUUGAAUGUAAAUCUUUGACCAAGUCAUUAGCAAGCAAAAUGUUAUGAUGU
This 220-nucleotide long non-coding RNA is filed under the name Musa acuminata (dwarf banana). Its description in RNAcentral is "long non-coding RNA (MACU_LNC005206)". Lineage: Eukaryota; Viridiplantae; Streptophyta; Magnoliopsida; Zingiberales; Musaceae. The record is from RNAcentral.